AGAGGACUGUAAUUAUUACUUUAUUUGUUGUAGCUGCAGUUUCAUGUCUUUUUCUUUAUCACUCAGCUAAUCCCUUUGAGUUUUUGCCUCGUUCCUCAGCUUAUGAUGUUAUUGCGCCAUCCAUGAAAGCUCAGGUCAGUUUUUUCUUUUUUUUUGGGGCAUUUGUUUAUUUAUGACUCACUUUCCCUGAUAUAUUUUUAUGCUCUGUUUAAUUAAUUUUUGGUUUUGGGAUCAUAUUUUGCAUGGCAGUAGCAGAAUCUUUUGUUUACGGGAGCCAUUAAUUUUUUUUUUUAACAUAAAAAGAUCACCAAAGUUAAAUUCUAACAAAUGGAUUAAUUUUUUUAAAAUUUUUUUAAAAAGAAAAAGGCUUUUAUUACUUUAAUUUCACUAGUCUGAGUUUUUUUUUCCCCCACCGAUGUGAGUUCGAUCGUGAAUUACGCGAAAAAUAUUUUAAUAGCAUAACGAACUAAUGCGGGCAGGAACUCACAAGUGAUUUGUUUCUGUCUUUUUUUUUUCUUUUUUUUUUGUCCCUUCUUAUUGCAGAAAAGUAGCAAUGAUCCAAGCCUAGAGAAAAUUCUCAAAAGAGCAGCAAUGGGAGACAAUACAGUGAUAAUAACAACAUUAAAUCAAGCAUGGGCAGAGCCGAACUCAAUAUUUGAUAUAUUUUUGGAGAGUUUCAGAACAGGAAAUGGAACUGGUAAACUUUUAGAUCAUCUGGUGGUGGUAGCAUUGGACUCAAAAGCACUUGAUCAUUGCUUAUCAACGCAUCCUCAUUGUUAUGCUCUCAAUACUUCUGGCCUCGAUUUUUCGGGCAAGGAAGCUUAUUUUAUGACCUCUAGUUACUUGGAAAUGAUGUGGAUUCGAAUUCGUCUUCUAUCAGAUGUUCUUGCAAUGGGUUACAACUUUGUCUUCACGGUACGUUCUUUUUCAAUUUUACAGAUGUUGCAUUAUGAUGUAGUCUUGUAACGUGUCUCUCUGCAGGUCCAAUGAUUAUGUUAAAAGUCGACAGGUCACUGUAUACUAAAAGUCGACAGGUCACUGUAUACUACCAGGAGUCACAAAUUUUUUAGGACAUCCACACGUUUAAUGUUUCAGAAGAAAUUAAUUGUAUUAUGGCAAACAAAUGCCCUCCCGCCAACGUAAGAGCAGAGUUUAAACCAGUUAAGCUUAUUAACACCACCACACAUGAUGAUUGUUAAUAAUUAAUACCACCAGCACUCUAGUUAAUUUAACCUUUACCUGGUCGUAUGGAUUCUAUGGUGAUGGUUUUCUUUUUUCUUUUUAGUUGUUGAAUAAAAUAGAUACAAAAGUAUAUAUUAACUUCAUAUUACCUUUCUCAUGAAUUAUAUUUUUGAAAAUCUCAAUUUAUUCUAUUUUUGUUAAGAAAACAAUUCGUUUUUUUCCUUAUCUUUUGAAGAAAAUAGGAUAACUUUUUAAAAAAUGAGGAGGAAGAUUUAAAAAUAGUUAAUUUUUUGUUUGAAAAAAAAAUAGAAUAAAAAAUAGUUAAUUUUUUGUUUGAAAAAAAUAGUGAUAACUUUUUUAAAAGUAAGGACUAAGGAGAAUCCUUAAAAAAAGAAGGAAAACGUUGACUUUAUAAACCGAGAAGAGUGAUGCAAACGUUGACUUUAAAAAAACGUGAAGAGUGAUGCCGCCAAGACUGAGAAAGAGGCAUACAGCGACUUAUUUGUAAAAAACGUGAAAGAUUUUCUCUUAUUUAUUUUUUUUCAGAGGACUUUUUCUCUUGUUUAAAUUCUUCCUUUUUUUUUUUUUGUUUUUUGAAAGUUAUUUAAAUUCUCCCUUAACAAUCUUGUUUUUAAUUUUUUUCAAAAUAGCAGGAUGCGGAUAUUGUGUGGCUGCAGAACCCAUUUCAACGUUUUGACCCAGAUGCAGAUUUCCAAAUUGCAUGCGACAGAUUCUCAGGCAACUCAUUUAAUCUAAGAAACGAACCAAAUGGAGGAUUUAACUACGUAAAAUCCAACAAUCGAACAAUCGAAUUCUACAAGUUUUGGUACAACUCCAGAAAGAUGUUUCCAGGUCUACAUGAUCAAGAUGUUCUGAACGAAAUCAAAUUCGAUCCGUAUAUCCAAAAAAUCCAAGUAAAAAUAAGAUUUCUAGACACCAAAUACAUUGCUGGAUUUUGUCAAGUUAGCCAAGAUUUUAAUGCAGUUUGUACCAUGCAUGCCAAUUGCUGCUUUGGCCUCGAAGCAAAAAUUACUGAUCUUAGACUUGCACUUGAGGACUGGAGAAAUUUUAUGGAGUUGCCUCCGGAUCAGAAAUCACUCCCACGAUCAUGGACUGUGCCUAAAAAAUGCAGGUAUAUAUAUAUAUAUAUAUAUGUGGACUAAGAUCCUCUCUUGAUAUGAACUUCUUACAGAUAAACUAAAUCACAUAUCAAUCUAGUCAGUUUUCAACACGAAGAUGUACACUAAAUUAAAUACAGAUUUGUACUAUAAACAUAUACAUACAGCAUUGUAUAUCCUUUAUGUAGUACUGCAAAUGUGUUAUCAUAGUCCUAACAUUUUGGAUAAAUUUUUUCAGUCUCCUUCGGUAGGGCUGUCAAUAGUUUACAAACAUUGAUUAUGUUUUAUGUGAGUUGGCUUUAGGUCCCGAAUUAAAAUUGGGAAGAAGUUUAGGAUGUUGUAAAUUAUUUUUUUUUUCAAUAUUUUACAAUGUUGUAAAAGUCCAUUUAUAAUGUCGUAAAUUUGUCCCUAACUUUAAUUUAAAUUCUGAAUUAAAAAAUUUUGCUGUUUUUUAUUUGACGUAUUUCAAUCUUUUGAGUUUAAAAUCUGUUGCUAAUUAUUUUUUUGGUCGAAAAUAGAGAGACACCCUUUCAUCCUCCUGACGAGUCGCCUAACAGUCUUCCGCCUGCUGCGCCGAAGAUUAGUGCUCAAGAGGGCAAUAAUCAAUGACACGUGUUUUAGGGUCUCUUUGGACUUUUGGAUUGAUUGAUUAAUAAACAAAGGUAAAUUGUAAAUCGUGUUUUAGUCUUCCUUUUUUACUCAACUGUUGUAAAGCAACGCAUAGUUUUGUUUCUAUGACGUUGAACGUCAUUGUUUUGUUCAAUGUUUGCUUAAAUGCCCUAUCAAAGGCCAUAAUCUUAUUUGAAUCGUUUGGCUAUUGUGCAAUAACUUGAUUUGUCAAGUUAGCCAAGAUUUUAAUGCAGUUUGUACCAUGCAUGCCAAUUGCUGCUUUGGCCUCGAAGCAAAAAUUACUGAUCUUAGACUUGCACUUGAGGACUGGAGAAAUUUUAUGGAGUUGCCUCCGGAUCAGAAAUCACUCCCACGAUCAUGGACUGUGCCUAAAAAAUGCAGGUAUAUAUAUAUAUAUAUAUAUGUGGACUAAGAUCCUCUCUUGAUAUGAACUUCUUACAGAUAAACUAAAUCACAUAUCAAUCUAGUCAGUUUUCAACACGAAGAUGUACACUAAAUUAAAUACAGAUUUGUACUAUAAACAUAUACAUACAGCAUUGUAUAUCCUUUAUGUAGUACUGCAAAUGUGUUAUCAUAGUCCUAACAUUUUGGAUAAAUUUUUUCAGUCUCCUUCGGUAGGGCUGUCAAUAGUUUACAAACAUUGAUUAUGUUUUAUGUGAGUUGGCUUUAGGUCCCGAAUUAAAAUUGGGAAGAAGUUUAGG
Molecule: long non-coding RNA, 3631 nt
Filed under: Citrus sinensis (sweet orange)
Lineage: Eukaryota; Viridiplantae; Streptophyta; Magnoliopsida; Sapindales; Rutaceae
Description: long non-coding RNA (CSIN_LNC001587)
Source: RNAcentral